RNAcentral lists this ribosomal RNA (465 nucleotides) under Vreelandella stevensii. RNAcentral describes it as "partial 16S ribosomal RNA". It matches the Rfam family "Bacterial small subunit ribosomal RNA", at positions 338 to 795 of the family's 1533-position model. Lineage: Bacteria; Pseudomonadati; Pseudomonadota; Gammaproteobacteria; Oceanospirillales; Halomonadaceae. The record is from RNAcentral.
CCUACGGGCGGCUGCAGUGGGGAAUAUUGGACAAUGGGGGCAACCCUGAUCCAGCCAUGCCGCGUGUGUGAAGAAGGCCCUCGGGUUGUAAAGCACUUUCAGUGAGGAAGAACGCCUGGUGGUUAAUACCCAUCAGGAAAGACAUCACUCACAGAAGAAGCACCGGCUAACUCCGUGCCAGCAGCCGCGGUAAUACGGAGGGUGCGAGCGUUAAUCGGAAUUACUGGGCGUAAAGCGCGCGUAGGUGGCUUGAUAAGCCGGUUGUGAAAGCCCCGGGCUCAACCUGGGAACGGCAUCCGGAACUGUCAAGCUAGAGUGCAGGAGAGGAAGGUAGAAUUCCUGGUGUAGCGGUGAAAUGCGUAGAGAUCGGGAGGAAUACCAGUGGCGAAGGCGGCCUUCUGGACUGACACUGACACUGAGGUGCGAAAGCGUGGGUAGCAAACAGGAUUAGAUACCCCAGUAGUC